RNAcentral lists this unclassified non-coding RNA (289 nucleotides) under Sebacinales sp. RNAcentral describes it as "partial contains 5.8S ribosomal RNA, internal transcribed spacer 2, and large subunit ribosomal RNA". The record is from RNAcentral. Lineage: Eukaryota; Fungi; Basidiomycota; Agaricomycetes; Sebacinales.
CGCACCUUGCACCCUUUGGUAUUCCGAAGGGUACGCCCGUUUGAGAGUCAUUGUAAUCUCACCCCGGAAAUUUAUUUUUUACGGGAGUGGACUUGGACGUUGCCGUGUCACGGCUCGUCUCGAAGGUCUCAGUGUGACCCGUUCGCAGGCGUCUACAGUGUGAUAUGUAUCUUCACUGUGAGUCUCUCCGGAGGCGCGCUCUCGGACGUUGGGCCUAUGCUGCCAACCGUCUUCGGACAACUUUUGACAAUUUGACCUCAAAUCGGGUGGGACUACCCGCUGAACUUAA